GAUGAACGCUGGCGGCGUGCUUAACACAUGCAAGUCGAGCGAGUGAGUUCUUCGGAACGAUCUAGCGGCGGACGGGUGAGUAACACGUGGGCAACCUGCCUCAUAGAGGGGAAUAGCCUCCCGAAAGGGAGAUUAAUACCGCAUAAAAUUAUCGAGUGGCAUCACACGAUAAUCAAAGGAGUAAUCCGCUAUGAGAUGGGCCCGCGGCGCAUUAGCUAGUUGGUGAGGUAACGGCUCACCAAGGCGACGAUGCGUAGCCGACCUGAGAGGGUGAGCGGCCACAUGGGGACGGAGACACGGCCCAGACUCCUACGGGAGGCAGCAGUGGGGAAUAUUGCACAAGGGGGGAAACCCUGAUGCAGCAACGCCGCGUGAGUGAUGAAGGUCUUCGGAUUGUAAAGCUCUGUCUUUGGGGACGAUAAUGACGGUACCCAAGGAGGAAGCCACGGCUAACUACGUGCCAGCAGCCGCCGUAA
This 476-nucleotide ribosomal RNA is filed under the name uncultured bacterium. RNAcentral describes it as "partial 16S ribosomal RNA". It matches the Rfam family "Bacterial small subunit ribosomal RNA", at positions 28 to 523 of the family's 1533-position model. The record is from RNAcentral.